Xyrichtys novacula (pearly razorfish) is the source of this 339-nucleotide non-coding RNA. Lineage: Eukaryota; Metazoa; Chordata; Actinopteri; Labriformes; Labridae. The record is from the annotation of a GenBank genome assembly.
AGAUUUGGGGCUGGGGUAAGGUUUAAGGUUAUGGCGUAAGGGUUUAAAUCACUGUCCAAAACGUUUGUAGGAACUAUUUUCCAAGCUUUUGGAGUUAGUUAGACCAAAAAGAAAUGAAAAAUGAAAAAAAAAUAUUUGUGGUGUUCGGGCUUCCUGAAGAUAAUACAUGGGUAUUAGGUUUUGGGGCUAGGGAAAGGUUUAAGGUUUUUGGCGUUAGGGUUAAAAUCACUGUCCAAAACCUUUGUAGGAACUCUUUUCCAACCAUUUGGAGUUAGUUAGACCAAAUAAAAAUGAAAAAUGAAAAAAAAAUAUUUGGCUUGUUUUGGCUUCCUGAAGAUA